GCCCGAGUAGCUCAGUGGUAGAGCAGGGGAUUGAAAAUCCCCGUGUCGGAAGUUCAAUUCUCCCCUCGGGCACCA
This 75-nucleotide transfer RNA is filed under the name Alphaproteobacteria bacterium. RNAcentral describes it as "tRNA-Phe". It matches the Rfam family "tRNA". Rfam says of the family: Transfer RNA (tRNA) molecules are approximately 80 nucleotides in length. Their secondary structure includes four short double-helical elements and three loops (D, anti-codon, and T loops). Further hydrogen bonds mediate the characteristic L-shaped molecular structure. tRNAs have two regions of fundamental functional importance: the anti-codon, which is responsible for specific mRNA codon recognition, and the 3' end, to which the tRNAs corresponding amino acid is attached (by aminoacyl-tRNA synthetases). tRNAs cope with the degeneracy of the genetic code in two manners: having more than one tRNA (with a specific anti-codon) for a particular amino acid; and 'wobble' base-pairing, i.e. permitting non-standard base-pairing at the 3rd anti-codon position. RNAcentral also lists the same sequence under 3 other names. The record is from RNAcentral. Lineage: Bacteria; Pseudomonadati; Pseudomonadota; Alphaproteobacteria.